UGCGUAGGUGGUUUGUUAAGUCUGAUGUGAAAGCCCUGGGCUCAACCUGGGAACGGCAUUGGAAACUGGCUUACUAGAGUGCGGUAGAGGGGUGUGGAAUUCCCGGUGUAGCAGUGAAAUGCGUAGAUAUCGGGAGGAACAUCUGUGGCGAAGGCGACACCCUGGACCAGCACUGACACUGAGGCACGAAAGCGUGGGAGCAAACA
This 206-nucleotide ribosomal RNA is filed under the name uncultured bacterium. Its description in RNAcentral is "partial 16S ribosomal RNA". It matches the Rfam family "Bacterial small subunit ribosomal RNA", at positions 568 to 774 of the family's 1533-position model. The record is from RNAcentral.